Molecule: long non-coding RNA, 3207 nt
Organism: Struthio camelus australis
Lineage: Eukaryota; Metazoa; Chordata; Aves; Struthioniformes; Struthionidae
Source: Ensembl
UGAUCAGCAAUGUGUACAGAGCAGAGGCUUAACUGAGAUGCCCAUGGCAAUGCCCAGUGGCUGCAGAUAAUUUAGAGCUCAGUCAUAUGUGCAGGUAACUUUAAAUUAUUCCUUCGUGAGUCCAGGAUGAAUCAGGAUGAAUCACACGGUGAUGGAGGUAAUUCCUUCCAUCAGUUGAACAGUGAAUCAGUCGCUAUUUUUCUCAUCAUAAAGAGGCCAUUUUAUAUGCAGUACUAAAGUACAUUUCCUGCUAAAACCAUGAGGCUGAAUAAAGCGGCCAGUUAGUUACAGGCUUGCAGACGAAUUAACAGUGUGAAUUUCGGCAGAACAGUCUUCAGCGUAAGCAAAUGGUGUUUAGUAAUUUAGAGAAGGAAGUCUGGCUCUAGAUCAGGAGACAGCAGAAAACAGCAUCUCCGAGAAGUGUAUGCCCAAGCUGUUGCUUGAAAUGGGAGAGCAAGCCCAUCACAUCCCAAACUUCCUAAAGUUUCUGUAGGCUCUGAAGGCAAACCUAGAACUCAGUUUGCAGUACAUGUCCAAAGGCAGGUAUUGCUAGCUCUUGGCUAUUCUGUAUAUACAUUCCAGGUCCUGAGGCCCUUGCACAGCAGCACCAGCAGACACCGGUGACUUUUUAUUUAGAGGAAGAGAGAAUAUCGAAGAGGAGGAGAUGGGCUGAGUCCUGAGGCUGUUUGGCAGGUGGCCAUCACAUACUCAUCACUGUUUUCACUACCAACCUCUCAUCUUUGAACGGAAAGAAACCCCACAACCGCGCAUGGGAAGCUCUGAGAAAUAGUUAGCUUUGACAUUGAAGAAAAGAAGAUAUAAAUUAUGCUUCUGGUGGAGAUGGGCUCUGAGUCUCCAUGGACAGAGAGCUUCAUGGAAGAGCUGGUCAGAAGAUCAGAGUCUAAAAAUAAACACUCAAAUGCUGUGCACGUCCAGCUGAACUCAGUGGGACUUGUGGAUUGACUCAUAUCUACAAAUUGGAUUCAGGGUUCAGAUCCGAAACUCGCAGUCACUGGUUGCUUCUCAGAUCCACUGGAACCACCAGAGGUUCGAGUAGAGCCUGGCUGCGUGAUGUCACCCAGCAUGAUUUUCAGCCCUGGAAAGAGGAACUUAAUGGUGGAAGUGCAAAUCAGAUUUUCCUGUCGGACACUCAUAGCACUGGAAGCGUGUGGUGCUUGCUGGCUCCGCAGGGAACGAGAUCACUGCGAAAAGAUUCAUUACCAGUGAUGACUGCUGGAAUAUAUCUGUCUGCGUGGGAAAACAUUGCCAGCAAGCUGCAUUUGGAGCUGCAGCUGAGCGGCUUAAUGCUGCCGAAUAGGAGUUCCUCCGGUAGCGCAAGGAAAAGUCACUUCCCCAGCGAACUGCCUUGUGCUCCAUGGCUCCUUCUGCCACUGGUGCAAAAAACAAUUUGGCAUCUCCAGCUUUGCUGAAAGGGAGAGCAAGGAUGAGGUGGCAGCUGCUUGUGUUUGGGCCUCAUCCUCCAGCCAAGCUGGAUCAGAGUCACGGGAUGGCAGCGCCCGUCCUCUUCCUUACUAGACUAGUGCCCAACCUCUGUUAGAAGGGGCGUUAGACGAGCUAGAAGCUCAUCCUUUGGCAGUUUUUUUUGAUAGAACAAUCUUCCCUUUAGCCAGCUGGAACAACAACCAUUGCUCUUCUGAUACAGGUCUCCAACUGGACGUACACAGCUGUUUUUUGUUCUUUUUGAAAUAAUUGUCCAACUCCUCUGCCCACCUCUGACAUGUAGCCUUAGUUAAAAUAGGAAGUGCUGCUAAUUUCAGUCAAUGCCUGUUCAGCACAACACACUUCUACAGUAUUUUUCAUCACUAAUCAUAAAAGCUAUCUGUGUGAUCAUUGCAAGAAUUGCGCUAACGCUGCUGACCAGCUAAGGCUGUUCCUCUUGGCCACGGUGGCUGCAGGAGUGAACGGGGGGCCCCUGGGCCUGUAUCAUGCAGCAGCUUUGAGAGCUUGCUUUGCCUCCCACCUUUCUCUUCCAGAUGUCAGGUGCUAGUGAAACGUGCCAGGCUUUCUGAGGAGUAAUCAGAUCAAUCUGAGCAGAGAACAAGCUGUCAUAAUUCACUAUGCUAAUGAAAAUUAUGAUGACAUCACAACAAAAAAAUCCUUGCCAAUCUAAUCAUCUCACAGCACCAUGACACAAAGUUAUUUAAAGGCUAAUGUUCUCGGCAGCAUGUAAAAGCUACCAACAAUUUCUGAAGGUGAUUAAACAUCAGAGCGAAGUGGAGCUGUAUGGAGAAUUUAGCUGUUGUCUGGCGAGCAUGCAUUCCUCUAAGCACCAGCAUUAUUCAUACUAUGCUAGAGAAAACAAGUUCAACAAAGCAUGAUAGCAGAAAGCGUAGGGAAAAGUAACCUCUGGCCAGAGAAGUGCUGGGAAUUCACUGUUCCUGCCAUGCAACAUUUCACUAAUAGUGAUGUAAGUGGGGAUGCAUACUCUGUUUGCUAAUAUUUAAUUUCCUCACUGUGGGUCAUAAAGUUUGACUCAAAAUUAAUUGAGGAAAAAAGGGAUUAGAGAAACCUUCCGAAGACGCACGUUCCAGCCUUUUCACGGUGUGUAAGCCUAGGACCCAUGCAGAGGGAAAAAGAAAGAUGUUGCGGGUCCCCCUAUCUCCAGCAUAUAGUCAUCACCAUGUGCGACCAAUAUUUGUUUCAUUAUCUUUUGCAGGAAGCGUACGGAGGAAAGAAUCCACAAUAGGUGCAUCAGGGAAAAAGCAUGAACUCACAUUAGUUUUAGAGAGCUGUAAGAACUAGUUUGUGCAAUUUGAUCUACCUCAAGCUCUAGCCCCAGCAGUGACUCAUGAAACAGAAUGUCAAACUACAGUAAAUUCAAGGAAUAGACACAGCAUUAAGAGACUGGAGGAAAACCGAGAUGAAUGUGAAAGCAGGCAGUCAAAAAGAAAAAGAACAAGCAGCAAGGUUGGAGGGAGAAAGGAGAGGGAACAAAGGGAAUCUGAGGCAAGGAGAGCAACUGGAACAUGACAAUAUGUUGGAUUCCACAGAAAUCUUUUAAUAUUUCGUUAUAUAUUCUCUGUUCCCUUACUCGGAGGUAUUGCUUUUCAGAAGAAAUUUAACUUGAAAAGGUAUUUGCAAGGAAGAAUAGGAGCCUCAGGUAAGCAAAGGGAGAAUCCUGCUUGAAUCAAUUCCUUUUUGGCUCUCAGACAAGGCCAGGGGAAUAAAUACUUGAAAAGUGCAGCA